UACGUAGGGGGCAAGCGUUGUCCGGAAUCAUUGGGCGUAAAGCGCGCGUAGGCGGCCCGGUAAGUCCGCUGUAAAAGUCCAGGGCUCAACCCUGGAAUGCCAGUGGAAACUGUCGGGCUAGAGUCCGGAAGAGGCGAGUGGAAUUCCUGGUGUAGCGGUGAAAUGCGCAGAUAUCAGGAGGAACACCGAUGGCGAAGGCAGCUCGCUGGGACGGUACUGACGCUGAGACGCGAAAGCGUGGGGAGCAAACAGG
RNAcentral lists this ribosomal RNA (253 nucleotides) under uncultured bacterium. Its description in RNAcentral is "partial 16S ribosomal RNA". It matches the Rfam family "Bacterial small subunit ribosomal RNA", at positions 524 to 776 of the family's 1533-position model. The record is from RNAcentral.